This 69-nucleotide transfer RNA is filed under the name Marmota monax (woodchuck). It matches the Rfam family "tRNA". From Rfam's summary of the family: Transfer RNA (tRNA) molecules are approximately 80 nucleotides in length. Their secondary structure includes four short double-helical elements and three loops (D, anti-codon, and T loops). Further hydrogen bonds mediate the characteristic L-shaped molecular structure. tRNAs have two regions of fundamental functional importance: the anti-codon, which is responsible for specific mRNA codon recognition, and the 3' end, to which the tRNAs corresponding amino acid is attached (by aminoacyl-tRNA synthetases). tRNAs cope with the degeneracy of the genetic code in two manners: having more than one tRNA (with a specific anti-codon) for a particular amino acid; and 'wobble' base-pairing, i.e. permitting non-standard base-pairing at the 3rd anti-codon position. Lineage: Eukaryota; Metazoa; Chordata; Mammalia; Rodentia; Sciuridae. RNAcentral also lists the same sequence under 1 other name. The record is from Rfam by way of RNAcentral.
GGGGUUGUAGCUCAGUGGUAGAGCGCUUGCCUAGCAUGUGCAAGGCCCUGGGUUCGAUCCUCAGCACCA